RNAcentral lists this ribosomal RNA (254 nucleotides) under uncultured bacterium. RNAcentral's name for it is "partial 16S ribosomal RNA". It matches the Rfam family "Bacterial small subunit ribosomal RNA", at positions 524 to 776 of the family's 1533-position model. The record is from RNAcentral.
UACGAAGGGGGCUAGCGUUGUUCGGAUUUACUGGGCGUAAAGCGAGUGUAGGCGGUUUGGUAAGUCGGGUGUGAAAGCCCCGGUGGACCGUCAACCAGGAAGUGCACUCGAAACUGCGCGACUAGAGUACUGGAGAGGUUGGUGGAAUUCUCGUGUAGAGGUGAAAUUCUAGAUAUCGAGAGGAACACCGGUGGCGAAGGCGGCCAACUGGACAAUACUGACGCUGAGACUCGAAAGCGUGGGGAGCAAACAGG